RNAcentral lists this ribosomal RNA (253 nucleotides) under uncultured bacterium. RNAcentral describes it as "partial 16S ribosomal RNA". It matches the Rfam family "Bacterial small subunit ribosomal RNA", at positions 524 to 776 of the family's 1533-position model. The record is from RNAcentral.
UACGAACUGUGCAAACGUUAUUCGGAAUCACUGGGCUUACAGGGUGCGUAGGCGGCUUGUUAAGCAGGGUGUGAAAUCCCUCGGCUCAACCGAGGAAUUGCGCCUUGAACUGGCGAGCUAGAGUGGGACAGAGGUGCGCGGAACUUCCAGUGGAGCGGUGAAAUGUGUUGAUAUUGGAAGGAACGCCGGAGGCGAAAGCGGCGCACUGGGUCUUAACUGACGCUGAGGCACGAAAGCCAGGGGAGCAAACGGG